UGGGGAAUUUUGGACAAUGGGCGAAAGCCUGAUCCAGCAAUGCCGCGUGUGUGAAGAAGGCCUUCGGGUUGUAAAGCACUUUUGUCCGGAAAGAAAUCCUUGGCUCUAAUACAGUCGGGGGAUGACGGUACCGGAAGAAUAAGCACCGGCUAACUACGUGCCAGCAGCCGCGGUAAUACGUAGGGUGCAAGCGUUAAUCGGAAUUACUGGGCGUAAAGCGUGCGCAGGCGGUUUGCUAAGACCGAUGUGAAAUCCCCGGGCUCAACCUGGGAACUGCAUUGGUGACUGGCAGGCUAGAGUAUGGCAGAGGGGGGUAGAAUUCCACGUGUAGCAGUGAAAUGCGUAGAGAUGUGGAGGAAUACCGAUGGCGAAGGCAGCCCCCUGGGCCAAUACUGACGCUCAUGCACGAAAAGCGUGGGGGAGCAAAACAGGAUUAGAUACCCCUGGUAGUCCACGCCCUAAACGAUGUCAACUAGUUGUUGGGGAUUCAUUUCCUUAGUAACGUAGCUAACGCGUGAAGUUGACCGCCU
Molecule: ribosomal RNA, 530 nt
Filed under: uncultured bacterium
Lineage: Bacteria
Description: partial 16S ribosomal RNA
Rfam family: Bacterial small subunit ribosomal RNA
Source: RNAcentral